AUACGGAGGGGGCGAGCGUUGUUCGGAAUUACUGGGCGUAAAGGGCGCGUAGGCGGAUGAUCAAGUCAGGGGUGAAAGGCCUGGGCUCAACCUAGGAACUGCCUUUGAAACUGAUUGUCUCGAGUCCGGGAGAGGAUAGCGGAAUUUCCAGUGUAGAGGUGAAAUUCGUAGAUAUUGGAAAGAACACCAGUGGCGAAGGCGGCUAUCUGGCCCGGUACUGACGCUGAGGCGCAAAAGCGUGGGGAGCAAACAGGAUUAGAUACCCCAGUAGUCC
Molecule: ribosomal RNA, 274 nt
Filed under: uncultured bacterium
Lineage: Bacteria
Description: partial 16S ribosomal RNA
Rfam family: Bacterial small subunit ribosomal RNA
Source: RNAcentral